RNAcentral lists this ribosomal RNA (118 nucleotides) under Betta splendens (Siamese fighting fish). Lineage: Eukaryota; Metazoa; Chordata; Actinopteri; Anabantiformes; Osphronemidae. The record is from RNAcentral.
GCUUACGGCCAUACCACCCUGAGCAAGCCCGAUCUCGUCUGAUCUCGAAAGCUAAGCAGAGUCGGCCUGGUUAGUACUUGGAUGGGAGACCGCCUGGGAGUACCAGGUAAUCUAAGCU